GCCCUUCCUACGGGAGGCAGCAGUAGGGAAUCUUCCACAAUGGGUGCAAACCUGAUGGAGCAAUGCCGCGUGAAUGAAGAAGGUCUUCGGAUCGUAAAGUUCUGUUAUUAGAGAAGAACAAGUCAAGGGUAACUGUCUUGACUUUGACGGUACCUAACCAGAAAGUCACGGCUAACUAUGUGCCAGCAGCCGCGGUAAUACGUAGGUGACAAGCGUUGUCCGGAAUUAUUGGGCGUAAAGGGAGCGCAGGCGGUUGGAAUAGUCUGAUGUGAAAGCCCACGGCUUAACCGUGGAAGGUCAUUGGAAACUGUCCAACUUGAAUGCAGAAGAGGUAAGUGGAAUUCCAUGUGUAGCGGUGAAAUGCGUAGAUAUAUGGAGGAACACCAGUGGCGAAGGCGACUUACUGGUCUGUGAUUGACGCUGAGGCUCGAAAGCGUGGGUAGCGAACAGGAUUAGAUACCCUGGUAGUCCACGCCGUAAACGAUGAGUGCUAAGUGUUGGAGGGUUUCCGCCCUUCAGUGCUGGAGUUAACGCAUUAAGCACUCCGCCUGGGGAGUACGACCGCAAGGUUAAACUCAAAGGAAUUGACGGAAGGGC
RNAcentral lists this ribosomal RNA (597 nucleotides) under uncultured bacterium. Its description in RNAcentral is "bacterial SSU rRNA". It matches the Rfam family "Bacterial small subunit ribosomal RNA", at positions 332 to 922 of the family's 1533-position model. The record is from RNAcentral.